CUUAGAGUUUGAUCCUGGCUCAGGAUGAACGCUAGCUACAGGCUUAACACAUGCAAGUCGAGGGGAAACGACAUCGAAAGCUUGCUUUUGAUGGGCGUCGACCGGCGCACGGGUGAGUAACGCGUAUCCAACCUGCCCACCACUUGGGGAUAACCUUGCGAAAGUAAGACUAAUACCCAAUGACGUCUCUAGAGGACAUCUGAAAGAGAUUAAAGAUUUAUCGGUGAUGGAUGGGGAUGCGUCUGAUUAGCUUGUUGGCGGGGUAACGGCCCACCAAGGCUACGAUCAGUAGGGGUUCUGAGAGGAAGGUCCCCCACAUUGGAACUGAGACACGGUCCAAACUCCUACGGGAGGCAGCAGUGAGGAAUAUUGGUCAAUGGACGAGAGUCUGAACCAGCCAAGUAGCGUGCAGGAUGACGGCCCUAUGGGUUGUAAACUGCUUUUAUAAGGGAAUAAAGUGAGUCUCGUGAGACUUUUUGCAUGUACCUUAUGAAUAAGGACCGGCUAAUUCCGUGCCAGCAGCCGCGGUAAUACGGAAGGUCCGGGCGUUAUCCGGAUUUAUUGGGUUUAAAGGGAGCGUAGGCCGGAGAUUAAGCGUGUUGUGAAAUGUAGAUGCUCAACAUCUGCACUGCAGCGCGAACUGGUUUCCUUGAGUACGCACAAAGUGGGCGGAAUUCGUGGUGUAGCGGUGAAAUGCUUAGAUAUCACGAAGAACUCCGAUUGCGAAGGCAGCUCACUGGAGCGCAACUGACGCUGAAGCUCGAAAGUGCGGGUAUCGAACAGGAUUAGAUACCCUGGUAGUCCGCACGGUAAACGAUGGAUGCCCGCUGUUGGUCUGAAUAGGUCAGCGGCCAAGCGAAAGCAUUAAGCAUCCCACCUGGGGAGUACGCCGGCAACGGUGAAACUCA
Molecule: ribosomal RNA, 908 nt
Filed under: uncultured bacterium
Lineage: Bacteria
Description: bacterial SSU rRNA
Rfam family: Bacterial small subunit ribosomal RNA
Source: RNAcentral